GAUGAACGCUGGCGGCGUGCCUAGUACAUGCAAGUCGAGCGAACAGACGAGGAGCUUGCUCCUCUGACGUUAGCGGCGGACGGGUGAGUAACACGUGGAUAACCUACCUAUAAGACUGGGAUAACUUCGGGAAACCGGAGCUAAUACCGGAUAAUAUAUUGAACCGCAUGGUUCAAUAGUGAAAGACGGUUUUGCUGUCACUUAUAGAUGGAUCCGCGCCGCAUUAGCUAGUUGGUAAGGUAACGGCUUACCAAGGCAACGAUGCGUAGCCGACCUGAGAGGGUGAUCGGUCACACUGGAACUGAGACACGGUCCAGACUCCUACGGGAGGCAGCAGUAGGGAAUCUUCCGCAAUGGGCGAAAGCCUGACGGAGCAACGCCGCGUGAGUGAUGAAGGUCUUCGGAUCGUAAAACUCUGUUAUUAGGAAAGAACAAAUGUGUAAGUAACUAUGCACGUCUUGACGGUACCUAAUCAGAAAGCCACGGCUAACUACGUG
Molecule: ribosomal RNA, 497 nt
Filed under: uncultured bacterium
Lineage: Bacteria
Description: partial 16S ribosomal RNA
Rfam family: Bacterial small subunit ribosomal RNA
Source: RNAcentral